CAACCCAAUACAAGCACCAACUAAACCUCCAUUUCGUUGGUGUACACCCAUCAAAAAGUGCAUCCUCCCAAAUUCUCUCAAUGUAGGAGAGAUGAAUACUCAACAGACUCUGGCCUCUGCUUUUGCUCCUUCCUUCCUGUGGGCCACUUUGAUGCGUUCUUCUCUUUAGCCACCUUCCAUCCAUGCAACAGGGAAUCAAAUCUUAACUUUUUUUAUUUCCAAGCACCACCAUUCCUUUUCCAUUUCAUUGACCAAGAUUGGACAUAAAUGCCCCAUGGGACCUCCUCAAGGUCGCUGCUUAGGCGCCCCCUGGGCAUGGCGAAUUGGAGAGCAGAGCAUGCCCAACAUAUGGCGCUCGCUUGACGCCAUGGACCACCAGGAGGGAGGCUGGAAUGGAGGAGCUGGCCUCAUAUUCUCCCUCCGGUUUGAUCCCAUGAGGGCGGUCUUCGAUCGUACUCUGGCCAGCUUCCCUGUUUCCGCGCUGAUUAGCCGCCUUCUUGGAUGGAGCAAGAGCAGUGGCCAAGGGACGCCGAAGGGAUCCGUGAUGGUCGCUGCCGCCGUUGCACUUUACGCGGCUGCGCUCUUUGUUUCAGAUCAGCAGCCUCGCCGGCGACGCCUGGCUGCUUCUGCUGCUGCAGCUAGGCCAACUUCUGCAACCAGACCUCGUGCUCUGCCUACGCCGGACGAUGGGCUCAGAAUUGUGGCAUCGGAUGAUGAAUAUCUGGAAAACGUGAUCCACAGCGCGUCAAUCGGUGCCGGGGACGAUGAGCCAGUUCUGGUGGCAAGAGUUCACACCAUGCCACCCGACGUGGCUGGAGCAACCUCUGCAUGGGAAACGGAGCACGAUAAGCUGGAGAAGGAGGAGGUCGAACGAUUCAAGGAGCUGUGGCUGUCGCUCGUGGAGCGGGAGCAGAGGCUGGAGCUCCGGCUGAUGGACCUCGACGGCCUUAUAGAGCAGGAGGCCACCGUGAAAGAGCUCGAGAACCGCCUCGGCCUCGCCGCCGUGGAGGCGCGGCUCCUGGAGCUCAAGGUCUUGUCGCUGCGUGAGGAGAACGAGAGGCUCAAGGACCAGGCGGCGGAGCUGGAGGCCGUCCGGGCUCAGCUGGGUCGCGCCAAGGAGAAGCUGCGGGCGCUCAAGGAGCGGGUGAAGGUCGAGCGGGAGGAGUCUCAGAGCGAGGCGGCGAUGCUCCGGGACAAGGUGAUGGGGCUGGAAAAGACCGGCGAGCAGAGGGAGAGGGUGCUGGCGGCGGAGGCGGCGGAGCUACGGAGGGCCAAGGCCGCGCUGGAGGAGGGGAACAGGGAGCUUGCUCAGAGGUUGCAGGAUGCGGAGCACGUCUCCUCCGCUGUUACUCUGGUUCGUGAGGACGACAUCGUUGACGAGGCAAACUACCUGAGGGAGGCGAACGAUCGGCUGACGAGGCAGAUCGAGCAGCUACACAGCGACCACUGCGCCCACGUCGAGGAGCUCGUCUACCUCAAGUGGGUCAACGCCUGCCUCCGCCACGACCUCCGUAGCGGCGACCACCACCCCUCGUCCGCUCAGCAGGAUCAGGACGGGGUUGCCAGCGCAAUGCCGUCGGCCAUGGAUCUCAGCAAGAGCAUGAGCUACCGCUCCAGCGAGAAGGCCAAGGAGCUCAUGCUCCAGUAUGGCAGCCUCGGCCUCGACGGCUACGACCCCGCGCUCUUCUCGCCGCUCAACGACUCCAUGUACGGCGACGGCGAAAGUCACCAGCAGCAUGUUGGAGAUCAGCACGAGCCAGGGCGGAGUCCGGUCGUGCCGUCGCCGGCCGCGGCCGCGCCCGAGAAUCGGGCCGGGCAUGGCAAGCUCAAGUUUCUGAGGAAUAUCAAGAAGCUGCUAGCGAGCAGCAGAAGGAGCCACGGCCACGACCGCAAGAGCAAGAAGGCCGCGCCGGACGACGAUCAUCUGGAGAAGGCGAUGCGGUGGCUGUCCUCCAGCAAUCAAGACGCGCUCGGCGGAGACAGCUCGUACGAGAGCACGCCGCUGUCGUCGUGCGACCGGACGCCGCUGAGCAGCGUGACGACCGUGGACUUGCACGCCCGUGCGCGCGCCGGGGAGGCGCCCUCCACGCCGAGGCUGGAGGCGAAGACUCGGCUGGCGAGGUCCAAGAGCGACAAUGGCGCCUCCUUCAGGCGGGAGGCGACCAGGUACCACGCUCUCCGGCCGGACCGCCCGGCCGGUCCCGGGACAGACGGGUUCCACUCGCCCGAGAAGAAUAGAAGGUACUCAGACGAGUUGAGAAGCUCCUGAUCAAUACUCCUAUGUUGGUGCAUGGGACGCUCUCCUGCACCCUGCAGGGUAAUGUUUUUGCACAAUAAACUUAUUAACAGCAACAGGUGGCUCAUCAAACCACGGCCUUCGGAGUGCCGCCGCGACGGCUGGCGUCCUUGCCACCAUCCCCGGGCCACCGCGCGAUGAGGAAAGGGAGAGGUCAGCGAUGAGAAAAAGGAGUCGUCGGCGACGUAGAGCGAGCGAGUGGAUCGGGUGGGAGAGUAAAACUGGAAAAUGGUGAGAGGUGACGGAUAAAGCGAGUGAGCCAUGCGAGAGCGAGCGAGUGGAUCGGGUGGGAGAGUAAAACUGGAAAAUGGUAUUUUUUUUUCUAAUGUGGCAGAGUUUGCACUGGGUUUUUAAAAAAAAGAAGAGAGGAAGUAGUACAAAAAAAAGUGAUAAAUUUCAUAUGGACGUCUUCUCACGCUACGACGUGGCUAUAGCCAUUUUUUUAUAAAUUUACAGAACUAUUGUACA
Hordeum vulgare subsp. vulgare (domesticated barley) is the source of this 2764-nucleotide RNA transcript. RefSeq lists it as uncharacterized. The transcript has 5 exons. Lineage: Eukaryota; Viridiplantae; Streptophyta; Magnoliopsida; Poales; Poaceae. The record is from RefSeq and is a predicted model, not a curated record.